This is a long non-coding RNA of Ostrea edulis (European flat oyster), 740 nucleotides long. RefSeq lists it as uncharacterized. NCBI's taxonomy places the organism in Eukaryota, Metazoa, Mollusca, Bivalvia, Ostreida, Ostreidae. The transcript has 2 exons. The record is from RefSeq and is a predicted model, not a curated record.
CCCGAUUUGAAGCAGUUGAAAAGGCAAAUCCCGAUAUCCCGAUCGGGAUUGCAAAAAUACCCCGAAAUCCUGAUUUUCUAAAAAUAUCUCCCAUUUUACGACAACAAAUCCCCAUUUCCAACCGGAAUUUGAAAUCCUGCGUCAUUUCUGAACUGGCCAAUCAGAAAUCGGGACAAUAGUCAGCCAUUGCUGUUUACAUGUGUCGCAUGGUAUAUAUCGGGGUGAUGUAAUUUACCUGGUCUGCCUGUGUCUGGGUGCUUAUUGGACAGUGCGAAGCAUGUUUUGAAAGUAAUUAAUCGGGACGGAUUUCAAAUUGACAUAUCCUUUACACAAACGUGAAUGACAACGAUAAUAGUGUCACCAUGCACCACCAAGCAAUCGGACAUUCCCGAUUUUUUGCCUCUCACUGACAGCAUCCAAAAUAUGCAAUAAGAUGUCAUGGGUGCAAAGGUUUUGUUCGCAAACUUCAUAGCAGGGCAGACUACUCCUUUUCUGGUUGCAAUGCAGAUUGUUCCACCAGACUCUGCAAGCCCAUGUUUACAGACAACCAAGAUCGCCUUUGUAGUCGUACCGAAAUGCAUGUGCUUCAAUUUAAAUUUUGAUAUAUAGACCAGCCAAUGUGUAUAUGGUGUAAAAGGAUGCAACUUUAAGUAUUAUUUGAUAUUUGUAAUGUCACUUGUUGAAGAGGAUUUUUUGCUGAAUAGAUAAUUUUAAUAAAAUACUUAUGUAUAUCUUUCAAA